GCGCGAGUGGUGAAAUUGGCAUACACGUCACUUUUAGGUAGUGAUGUCCUUACGGACGUGGGGGUUCGAGUCCCCCCUCGCGCACCG
This 87-nucleotide transfer RNA is filed under the name Skermania sp. ID1734. RNAcentral's name for it is "tRNA-Leu". It matches the Rfam family "tRNA". Rfam says of the family: Transfer RNA (tRNA) molecules are approximately 80 nucleotides in length. Their secondary structure includes four short double-helical elements and three loops (D, anti-codon, and T loops). Lineage: Bacteria; Bacillati; Actinomycetota; Actinomycetes; Mycobacteriales; Gordoniaceae. The record is from RNAcentral.